AUUCACUUCCCGAGGGGCUCGCGGCCCAUCAGCUUGUUGGUGAGGGUAACGGCCCACCAAGGCGACAACGGGUAGCUGGUCUGAGAGGAUGGUCAGCCACACUGGAACUGAGACACGGUCCAGACACCUACGGGUGGCAGCAGUCGAGAAUCAUUCGCAAUGGGGGAAACCCUGACGAUGCGACGCCGCGUGGAGGAUGAAGGCCUUAGGGUUGUAAACUCCUGUCAAGAGGGAAUAAGCAAGUGAAGGUACCUCUAGAGGAAGGGGCGGCUAAUUCCGUGCCAGCAGCCGCGGUAACACGGAAGCCCCGAGCGUUGUUCGGAUUCAUUGGGCGUAAAGGGUGCGUAGGCGGCGCGGAAAGUCCGGCGUGAAAGGCAGGGGCUCAACCUCUGGACUGCGUUGGAUACUUCCGUGCUUGAGGACUGGAGGGGAGACUGGAAUUCACGGUGUAGCAGUGAAAUGCGUAGAUAUUCGUGAGGAAGACCGGUGGCGAAGGCGAGUCUCUGGACAGAUCCUGACGCUGAGGCACGAAGGCUGGGGGAGCGAACAGGAUUAGAUACCCUGGUAGUCCCAGCAGUAAACGAUGUGAGCUUGAUGUGGGGGGAUUCGACCCCUUCCGUGUCGAAGCUAACGCGAUAAGCUCACCGCCUGAGGAGUACGGCCGCAAGGCUAAAACUCAAAGAAAUUGACGGGGACCCGCACAAGCGGUGGAGUAUGUGGCUUAAUUCGAUGCAACGCGAAGAACCUUACCUGGCCUUGACAUGCAUUGUGUCGUCGGUGAAAGCCGGCUAGUCCUGGAAACAGGACGCUUUGCACAGGUGCUGCAUGGCUGUCGUCAGCUCGUGUCGUGAGAUGUUGGGUUAAGUCCCGCAACGAGCGCAACCCUUGUGGUCAGUUACUAACCGGCUUAGCCGGAGGACUCUGGCCAGACUGCCCUGUCAAACGGGGAGGAAGGUGGGGACGACGUCAAGUCAGUAUGGCCCUUAUGGCCAGGGCUGCACACGUACUACAAUGCCCGGUACAAUGUGAACCGAAACCGCGAGGUGGAGGAAA
This 1053-nucleotide ribosomal RNA is filed under the name uncultured organism. RNAcentral describes it as "bacterial SSU rRNA". It matches the Rfam family "Bacterial small subunit ribosomal RNA", at positions 213 to 1271 of the family's 1533-position model. The record is from RNAcentral.